UACGUAGGGUGCAAGCGUUGUCCGGAUUUAUUGGGUUUAAAGGGUGCGCAGGCGGUUAAAUAAGUUAGUGGUGAAAUCGCCCCGCUUAACGGGGUACCCGCCAUUGAUACUGCUUAACUUGAGUGCGUCUGAGGAGGUUGGAAUGCGUGGUGUAGCGGUGAAAUGCAUAGAUAUCACGCAGAACACCGAUUGCGAAGGCAGACCUCUAAGGCGCAACUGACGCUGAGGCACGAAAGCGUGGGGAGCGAAC
RNAcentral lists this ribosomal RNA (250 nucleotides) under uncultured bacterium. RNAcentral's name for it is "partial 16S ribosomal RNA". It matches the Rfam family "Bacterial small subunit ribosomal RNA", at positions 524 to 773 of the family's 1533-position model. The record is from RNAcentral.